AUGCCAACGCUGCCAAUCCUCUUUAGCAGCCCCUCCUUCACAUCUGCCAUCGCAACGGGUGGAAACUACUCUUCUCGUCUCCCUCUCCAAGCAUCGCCUCUCCCCUGCAUCCCCCAUGUCCAAGCAUCACCUGCGGCAGCGAAAGCUACACCACCCUCUAGUAUUGAACACGAAACAGUAGAUGAGAACUAUGAUGGCGCUGCUCCGAAGAUGUUAUCAAGCUAUGAGCCCUUUCUGUGGGAGGUCAGACAAAUGGACGUCGACAUGUUGUUUAAGAGUUGCAACUGCACGGUGGAAAGAAUAAAUUUAUUGGACACUGUCCAACGUCUCGGAAUAGGUCAUCACUUUAAGAAACAUGUUGAUACCACGUUAAGUCAAAUUUUUGAGGAUGAAUUCAGUAGCCCUAGCCUCCAUCAGGUUGCCCUUCGGUUUGGCUUGCUUAGGGAGCAUGGUCUUUGGGUGUCUUCACAUGUUUUCGAUAAAUUUAAAAAUGAAGAUGGGAGCUUUAGGGAAGAUAUUACUAAUGACCCGAAGGGACUUUUAUGUCUAUACAACGCAGCUCAUCUUCUCAUUCAUGGUGAGCCAUCACUGGAAGAAGCUAUCUCUUUUGCAAGGCAUCAUCUUAAAUUGAUGAGGGACACUCUCAAUUCCCCUUUAGCCGAGCAAGUCAAAUGUGCCCUUCACAUGCCAUUGUCAAGGACGUUUAAGAGGAUGGAAACACUGCGUUAUAUCUCUGAGUAUAAGCACGAGGAAGGACAUAACCCAACUCUAUUGGAGCUAGCGAAGCUGGAUUUUAACCUUCUACAACAUGUCCACUUGAAGGAACUCAAAUAUCUCACUAAGUGGUGGCGCGAUCUUUACGGAUAUGUCGGGCUAAACUAUGCUCGGGACCGUCUAGUCGAGGGUUACAUUUGGUGUUAUGCGGUAUACCAUGAGAAAGAUUUUGCAUUGUCCAGAAUAUUUCUUACCAAGCAAUUGAUGCUUAUUUCCCUGAUGGAUGACACAUAUGAUUCCCAUGCCACCAUAGAGGAAUGUCGAUUGCUAAAUGCGGCCAUACAAAGAUGGGAUGAGAGUGCCACUUCUCUUCUACCCAACUACCUUCAAAGAUUCUAUAUUGAAUUGUUGAGGAUAUUUAAAAAAUAUAAGCGUGAAGUGGUCAUUCGUGACACCUACCAUGUUGCCUAUGCCCAGAAAGCGUUUCAAGAUCUAUCAGCUUAUUAUCUCCGAGAAGCUGAAUGGUUACACGAGAAUCACAAGCCAAGCUUCAAAGAUCACAUGAGUUUAUCUGCCAUGUCCAUAGGAUCACUAGCAUUAUGUAUAGGUUUGAUGGUUGGCAUGGGUGAUCUAGUGACGAGGGAAUCAUUUGAGUGGGCAGCUGGUUACCCUAAUGUCGCCAUAUCAUGCGGGAAGAUAGCACGUCUAAUGGAUGACAUUGCUGCAUUUAAAGGCGGGAAGGCCAAGGGAGAUAUGGCAACCUCUAUAGAGUGUUACAUGGUUGAGCAUAGGGUCACAAGUGUGGUUGCCCUUUCCAAGAUCCUUUCACUGCUAGAAGAUGAAUGGAAAACUCUAAAUCAAGCUCUCUUUCAACAUCACGCACAGCUCCCGGUGGUGCGGAGGAUUAUUAAGUUUGCUAAUAGCAUGCCAUUAUUCUAUGCUGAGAAAGAUGCAUAUACCUUCAACAUCCAUCUUAAGGAUACCGUUGAGAGCCUUUUUGUUGAAACCAUUCCCAUGUAG
This 1734-nucleotide ribosomal RNA is filed under the name Triticum aestivum (bread wheat). RNAcentral describes it as "partial small subunit ribosomal RNA". Lineage: Eukaryota; Viridiplantae; Streptophyta; Magnoliopsida; Poales; Poaceae. The record is from RNAcentral.